AGUGGCGCACGGGUGCGUAACGCGUAUGCAACCUACCUUCCACUGGGGGAUAGCCCGUCGAAAGACGGAUUAAUACCGCAUAUGACCACAGGAGGGCAUCCGAUUGUGGUAAAAGCUGAGGCGGUGGAAGAUGGGCAUGCGUGCCAUUAGCUAGUUGGCGGGGUAAAGGCCCACCAAGGCGACGAUGGCUAGGGGUUCUGAGAGGAUGGUCCCCCACACUGGUACUGAGACACGGACCAGACUCCUACGGGAGGCAGCAGUAGGGAAUAUUGGGCAAUGGCCGAGAGGCUGACCCAGCCAUGCCGCGUGCAGGAAGAAGGCCUUCUGGGUUGUAAACUGCUUUUAUCGGGGAAGAAAACGCCUUUGCGAAGGUAACUGACGGUACCCGAUGAAUAAGCACCGGCUAACUCCGUGCCAGCAGCCGCGGUAAUACGGAGGGUGCAAGCGUUGUCCGGAUUUAUUGGGUUUAAAGGGUGCGUAGGCGGCCCGUUAAGUCAGCGGUGAAAUCCCAGGGCUCAACCCUGGAACUGCCGUUGAUACUG
RNAcentral lists this ribosomal RNA (542 nucleotides) under bacterium EP1.07. Its description in RNAcentral is "bacterial SSU rRNA". It matches the Rfam family "Bacterial small subunit ribosomal RNA", at positions 94 to 635 of the family's 1533-position model. The record is from RNAcentral.